AUUGCCUUAGUAGCGGCGAGUGAAGCGGCAAAAGCUCAAAUUUGAAAUCUGGCGCCUUCGGUGUCCGAGUUGUAAUUUGAAGAUUGUAACCUUGGGGUUGGCUCUYGUCUAUGUUUCUUGGAACAGGACGUCACAGAGGGUGAGAAUCCCGUGCGAUGAGAUGCCCAAUUCUAUGUAAGGUGCUUUCGAAGAGUCGAGUUGUUUGGGAAUGCAGCUCUAAGUGGGUGGUAAAUUCCAUCUAAAGCUAAAUAUUGGCGAGAGACCGAUAGCGAACAAGUACAGUGAUGGAAAGAUGAAAAGAACUUUGAAAAGAGAGUGAAAAAGUACGUGAAAUUGUUGAAAGGGAAGGGUUUGAGAUCAGACUCGAUAUUUUGUGAGCCUUGCCUUCGUGGCGGGGUGACCCGCAGCUUAUCGGGCCAGCAUCGGUUUGGGCGGUAGGAUAAUGGCGUAGGAAUGUGACUUUACUUCGGUGAAGUGUUAUAGCCUGCGUUGAUGCUGCCUGCCUAGACCGAGGACUGCGAUUUUAUCAAGGAUGCUGGCAUA
This 543-nucleotide ribosomal RNA is filed under the name Meyerozyma guilliermondii. RNAcentral's name for it is "eukaryotic LSU rRNA". It matches the Rfam family "Eukaryotic large subunit ribosomal RNA", at positions 74 to 633 of the family's 3401-position model. Lineage: Eukaryota; Fungi; Ascomycota; Pichiomycetes; Serinales; Debaryomycetaceae. The record is from RNAcentral.